GCUUAACCGGAGAAGUGCAUCGGAAACUGGGAGACUUGAGUGCAGAAGAGGACAGUGGAACUCCAUGUGUAGCGGUGGAAUGCGUAGAUAUAUGGAAGAACACCAGUGGCGAAGGCGGCUGUCUAGUCUGUAACUGACGCUGAGGCUCGAAAGCAUGGGUAGCGAACAGGAUUAGAUACCCUGGUAGUCCAUGCCGUAAACGAUGAGUGCUAAGUGUUGGAGGGUUUCCGCCCUUCAGUGCUGCAGCUAACGCAUUAAGCACUCCGCCUGGGGAGUACGACCGCGUUGAAACUCAAAGGAAUUGACGGGGGCCCGCACAAGCGGUGGAGCAUGUGGUUUAAUUCGAAGCUACGCGAAGAACCUUACCAGGUCUUGACAUCUUCUGCCAAUCUUAGAGAUAAGACGUUCCCUUCGGGGACAGAAUGACAGGUGGUGCAUGGUUGUCGUCAGCUCGUGUCGUGAGAUGUUGGGUUAAGUCCCGCAACGAGCGCAACCCUUAUUAUCAGUUGCCAGCAUUCAGCUGGGCACUCUGGUGAGACUGCCGGUGACAAACCGGAGGAAGGUGGGGAUGACGUCAAAUCAUCAUGCCCCUUAUGACCUGGGCUACACACGUGCUACAAUGGACGGUACAACG
RNAcentral lists this ribosomal RNA (634 nucleotides) under uncultured bacterium. RNAcentral's name for it is "bacterial SSU rRNA". It matches the Rfam family "Bacterial small subunit ribosomal RNA", at positions 607 to 1244 of the family's 1533-position model. The record is from RNAcentral.